This 336-nucleotide ribosomal RNA is filed under the name Triticum aestivum (bread wheat). Its description in RNAcentral is "partial small subunit ribosomal RNA". The record is from RNAcentral. Lineage: Eukaryota; Viridiplantae; Streptophyta; Magnoliopsida; Poales; Poaceae.
GACUACCGUUCCAGGUCUCCGGUCUGGGAGCUCGUGAAGAAGAACAACUACUUCUUGAUCAAGCAGUUCGGCAACAGCAACACCAAGGUGCAGUUCAGCAAGGAGCCCAACAACCUCUACAAUGUCCACUCCUACAAGUUCUCGGGCUUGGCGAACAGCAAGACCGUGGCGGUCCAGCCAUCAGCGGGAGAGGACAAGGCUGUUGUCCUGUCCACGACCAAGACCAAGAAGCAGAACACCCCUGCCAAGCUCCAGCACAAGACUCUGAUGCGCAAGGAGUUCCGCAAGAUGGCCAAGUCUGUCAAGAACCAGAUGCUGCUACUUGCCACUGUUGAU